Molecule: non-coding RNA, 233 nt
Organism: Pelobates cultripes (western spadefoot toad)
Lineage: Eukaryota; Metazoa; Chordata; Amphibia; Anura; Pelobatidae
Source: the annotation of a GenBank genome assembly
AAAUACAUAAAAGUGAAAAAACAAGGAGGAGGGGGUGCAAAAGAUAAUACUGUGAUAUACUUAUAAUCAGUAAGUCUCUGGAUCAGCCAAGAGCAGAAGGAAGGCUCCAUAGACGAAACGUUGGGGUUAUUCAUUUCUCCUUCUCCUGGCUGAUCCAGAGACUUACUGAUUAUAAGUAUAUCCCAGUAUUAUCUUUUGCACCCCCCUCCUCCUUGUUUUUUUCACUUUUAAGC